CCUACGGGUGGCAGCAGUCGGGAAUAUUGCGCAAUGGAGGAAACUCUGACGCAGUGACGCCGCGUGCAGGAAGAAGGUUUUCGGAUUGUAAACUGCUUUCGACAGGGAAGAAAAAAGACAGUACCUGUCGAAUAAGCUCCGGCUAACUACGUGCCAGCAGCCGCGGUAAUACGUAUGGUGCAAGCGUUAUCCGGAUUUACUGGGUGGAAAGGGAGCGCAGGCGGCGCGUUAAGCCUGGUGUGAAAGCCCGCGGCCCAACCGCGGGACUGCAUUGGGAACUGGCGCGCUGGAGUGCCGGAGGGGUAGGUGGAAUUCCUAGUGUAGCGGUGAAAUGCGUAGAUAUUAGGAGGAACACCAGUGGCGAAGGCGGCCUACUGGACGGUGACUGACGCUGAGGCUCGAAAGCGUGGGGAGCAAACAGGAUUAGAUACCCGGGUAGUC
Molecule: ribosomal RNA, 441 nt
Filed under: uncultured bacterium
Lineage: Bacteria
Description: partial 16S ribosomal RNA
Rfam family: Bacterial small subunit ribosomal RNA
Source: RNAcentral